UCUUUUUUUGUUCUGCUGAAUUGAGAACAUGAUCUUGAUCCGUGGAUUGGGGAAAUCCUAUUAAUAGCAGGGUUCUAGACCCUGAAUGAAGAG
This 93-nucleotide transfer RNA is filed under the name compost metagenome. RNAcentral's name for it is "tRNA-Gln". The record is from RNAcentral.